AGCACGGCAAAGCACACCAAUGAAUACUAUGAGUAAAUAACCUGAAAGCAAAUAGGGAAGAAAACCUCAUCUGGGUAAUUGUGGCUCUUGGGACAAAAAUCAGGUUCCUGGAAAAGGAUCCCCAAAGGAGGUGUAAGGAUCCUGGACUCUAGUGUCUGCAAGAAGCUUCAGCCACCUUCACAGGUUAAAGUUCGCCAUCCAUUAGGAGGUGAAGACCAGAUGGGAACUGCUGGAUUGACCUUGAUAUACCAUGUCCUUGAGUGGAUGAAGGACCUACAUCUCAGGGAUGGCCAGCAGCAGAUGUAACACAUGUGUCCAGGAAUAGGCUAAACAACCUACACUGAUAGAUCUCAGCCGCUCAGCAGAAUGCGGGAGAGCCGAGUGCUGAUGGGCUAGAGGGGUCCCAGGCGUCGCUGUGCAGCCGGUGCAGUGUCUGCAGUCACCAUGGGCCAAACCCUGCGCUCCAGACAACCCCGG
Non-coding RNA from Chrysemys picta bellii (western painted turtle), 477 nucleotides. The record is from RefSeq and is a predicted model, not a curated record. Lineage: Eukaryota; Metazoa; Chordata; Testudines; Emydidae.